Molecule: long non-coding RNA, 508 nt
Filed under: Olea europaea subsp. europaea
Lineage: Eukaryota; Viridiplantae; Streptophyta; Magnoliopsida; Lamiales; Oleaceae
Source: RNAcentral
CAGUUGCAGUUUCUCGAUAGCCUCCUCAGACACUACAUUCUCACAACUGCCACUAUCAAUUAUCAGCUUACAGACUUUAUCAUCAACUGUGCAGGUUGUGUGGAAAAUGUUGGUCCUCAACCAAUCAUCCCCUGAGUCGCCCUUGGGAGUCAGCAGGCUCUUUCGAACGACCAGGGUCUCCUGACCAUCUCCAUAUAGCACGUCCUCAUCUUCACCCUCAUCAUACACGGGUUCCCCAACUUCCUCGAACUCCUCUAUCAUAUCCUCCUCAAUCAGAAGAUUUUUAUUCUUCUGACCAGCAGGCUUCCUGCAAUCAGUCGCCCUAUGCCCCUGUUCACCACACCUAAAGCACUUAAUACUUGAGCUGGAACUAUCCCGCUGUGGCUGAUAAGCAGGACGAGAUUCUUGAGGGCGAACUGGCUGACUUCCUUCACCUCUGACCACUGGCCUCCUACUUUGCUGUUUCUCUACUGCAAGUGCUCGCUGAUAUGCCUUAGAAACUGUCCAC